CCUACGGGAGGCAGCAGUGAGGAAUAUUGGUCAAUGGACGCAAGUCUGAACCAGCCAUGCCGCGUGCAGGAAGACGGCUCUAUGAGUUGUAAACUGCUUUUGUACGAGGGUAAAUCCCGAUACGUGUAUCGGGUUGAAAGUAUCGUACGAAUAAGGAUCGGCUAACUCCGUGCCAGCAGCCGCGGUAAUACGGAGGAUUCAAGCGUUAUCCGGAUUUAUUGGGUUUAGAGGGUGCGUAGGCGGUUCGAUAAGUUAGAGGUGAAAGCCCGGGGCUCAACUCCGGCACUGCCUCUGAUACGGUCGGGCUAGAGUUUAGUUGCGGUAGGCGGAAUGUAUGGUGUAGCGGUGUAAUGCAUAGAGAUCAUACAGAACACCGAUUGCGAAGGCAGCUUACCAAACUACGACUGACGUUGAGGCACGAAAGCGUGGGGAGCAAACAGGAUUAGAUACACUAGUAGUC
This 460-nucleotide ribosomal RNA is filed under the name uncultured bacterium. RNAcentral's name for it is "partial 16S ribosomal RNA". It matches the Rfam family "Bacterial small subunit ribosomal RNA", at positions 338 to 795 of the family's 1533-position model. The record is from RNAcentral.